CUGCAGGAAACGGAAGCAGAGAAGAGUCGCGAGACUUGGCUAGACCGCAUGCCUCCCCAGACCCCUCCCCUCCCUCCCGGCGCACCUUCUGACCCAGCUUUCUCGGUUGCACGUGGAGUUGUUUUGGCUCAAUCUCACGUGGCCGCGGAAGUGCCGGCGCUACAAGUCCGCCCCCAAGAUGGCGGCACCCAAUGAAUGGGGUCGCGAUCCGCUUCUGCUCAGUCUCGAAGUAUAGCCUUUGCGGUGUCUGCGGGGCCAUGGAGCGGCCUGGGUUCAUGGCUUCGCUGGUGGCUGGUGGGGUAGCAGGUGUCUCUGUUGACUUGAUAUUAUACCCUCUGGAUACCAUUAAAACCAGGCUGCAGAGUCCACAAGGAUUUAAUAAGGCUGGUGGUUUUCGUGGAAUAUAUGCUGGCGUUCCUUCUGCUGCUAUUGGAUCUUUUCCUAAUGCUGCUGCUUUUUUUAUCACCUAUGAAUAUGUGAAAUGGUUUUUACAUACUGAUUCGUCUUCAUAUUUGAUGCCCAUGAAGCAUAUGUUGGCUGCCUCUGCUGGAGAAGUGGUUGCCUGUCUGAUUCGUGUUCCUUCGGAAGUGGUUAAGCAGAGGGCACAGGUGUCUUCCUCUUCAAGAACAUUUCACAUUUUCUCUAACGUCUUAUAUCAAGAGGGCAUCCGAGGAUUGUAUCGAGGCUACACAAGCACAGUUUUAAGAGAGAUUCCUUUCUCAUUGGUCCAGUUUCCCUUGUGGGAGUCCUUAAAAGUGGAUUUGCAGCUGUGGUCACCACGCCUCUGGAUGUGGCAAAAACAAGGAUCAUGUUGGCAAAGGUUGGUUCCAGCACCGCUAGUGGGAAUGUGCUCUCUGCCCUGCACGGGGUCUGGCGGACACAGGGGCUGGCGGGUGCUGGUGUCUCCUUGCUGUCAUGUGACCCGGCAGCGCCAGAAUUCCGGCAGAGGAUGGGUGUCGCGAGCCUUCCUUUCCGGGGCCCUGGAAAGAUUAUUUGCAGGUGUCUUCCCUCGAACGGCAGCCAUCAGUCUGGGAGGCUUCAUCUUUCUUGGUGCUUAUGACCAAACCCGCAGCUUGUUAUUGGAACUUGGCAGAGGGAGCCCCUGAAUCCAGGACGGCCCCACAUGCACUUCUGUCCAGAAAGGGGGCUGCUGUGUGCACGGGCUCCCUUCCGGCGAGCAGCUGCUCGCCCAUCUGAACCGCCCGCACCGCGCCCCUGUGUGUGAGGACAGGACCUUGAGGAUGUCUUGCCUGCUCCAGGCUGGCUGGAACGUCGACUGCCGCCUGUCUGCCAGAUCGCCAAGAGGACCGUGUCCACAGCGAGUUUACAGAGAAGGAUCCACCGGCCGGCGUGGUGUGUGUGAAAGCAAGCUGGUAGUUGCAGCUCCAGGGACGAGGUGGGCCCGGUGCGUCCACGGAGGGUGCUGAGCCCCACCCCCGCUCCUCUUGAGCCCCCCCCCCCCCCCAGGGGCCUGGGCUGGCUGGGGAACAGAGCAGGGUUUCUUCGUUCCUAAUCGGGAAGGUUUAUUGUCUGCAGUUAGAAGGGGAGGUCACCAUUUCAGAGCUUGACUAAUAAGCUCCAGGUGUUAGAAAAAUUCAGAGAGAAAUCUCAGGAAUCUCGUGGUGGUGUAUCCUCCCUGGGGCUAAAGUAUAGGAUUUUGCUUCGCAUAAAAAAAUUUCCCCCUUUCUGGGGGAAAAAAAAGAUAAUUAAAGGCAGAAUAAGUGCCUUUGGUUUGUGAGUUUCUGGAAUGGAACAUACUGCUUACAAUGUCACUAGACAAAUGACCCCAGCCACCCAAUGAACGUUUAUAAAUGAACCUUUAUUAAAGACACUGCAACACCGUUUGUUAGACACUUCAAUAUUUUACAUGUUUUUCAAUGUACAUUGUACCAAAAUUUCUAUAAAUAAAUAACUUUGUACAUAAAAGUAAUACUUCCUCUUUCACAUUGCCUCUCAGAAGCAGCAAAUUCACAUAUUUUGUGGAAGUAACAUGAAUCAGUUGACUGUUGAGAACACAAUUCUAAAUGUGCUUACCUUUUGCAACAG
RNA transcript from Lynx canadensis (Canada lynx), 2046 nucleotides. It is a transcript of the gene named solute carrier family 25 member 26, with no coding region annotated. NCBI's taxonomy places the organism in Eukaryota, Metazoa, Chordata, Mammalia, Carnivora, Felidae. The transcript is spliced from 11 exons. The record is from RefSeq and is a predicted model, not a curated record.